Non-coding RNA from Triplophysa dalaica, 387 nucleotides. NCBI's taxonomy places the organism in Eukaryota, Metazoa, Chordata, Actinopteri, Cypriniformes, Nemacheilidae. The record is from the annotation of a RefSeq genome assembly.
CUCGGCCACGCCCUACACAAAAAAGGAGCUAGCUCACCGGCUACAAUAUUAGUGCAACCUGGUGAGGCUUUGACUCUGUCCUGUAAGGUGUCUGGAUAUUCACUGACUGACAGCAGCUACUGCACUGACUGGAUACGACAGACUGCAGGAAAACCUCUGGAAUGGAGUGGAUGGAUUUGUAAUAGUGGGAGCACACACUACAGUGAAAAACUGAACAGCAUAUUUCAAAUUACCAGAGUAGUAUUAUUACGUAGUAUUUCUGUGCUCAAAACACUCCCACAGCGUUCAGACACCUCUAAUAAUAUAGUGACAUUGAAUGGAAAUAAUAUGCAAGCUCGAGACACAGCUGUGUAUUAUUGUGCCAGAUACCACAGUGACAGACUCUAA